GAUGAACGCUGACAGAAUGCUUAACACAUGCAAGUCAACUUGAACUUCGGUUUGGGUGGCGGACGGGUGAGUAACGCGUAAAGAACUUGCCUCACAGCUAGGGACAACAUUUGGAAACGAAUGCUAAUACCUGAUAUUAUGAUUAUAUGGCAUCGUAUAAUUAUGAAAGCUAUAUGCGCUGUGAGAGAGCUUUGCGUCCCAUUAGCUAGUUGGAGAGGUAACAGCUCACCAAGGCGAUGAUGGGUAGCCGGCCUGAGAGGGUGAUCGGCCACAAGGGGAUUGUGGGACGGACCUUGCAUCUACUGGACGAACGAGUGGGGAAGAAUGAACAAUUGACCGAGAAGCUGAUGCAGCAAUACUGUGGAAAAAAAAAAGGUCUUAGGAAAGAAAAGAGGUGUCAGUUAGAAAGCAAAAAGCGGCGGUAGCAACAGAAGAAGAGACCACUAUAUUCAUC
Molecule: ribosomal RNA, 454 nt
Filed under: uncultured bacterium
Lineage: Bacteria
Description: partial 16S ribosomal RNA
Rfam family: Bacterial small subunit ribosomal RNA
Source: RNAcentral